CAGGGCCAGGCUGUGUCAGGACUCUGGAGAGAGUCACGAGUUUCAUUGUUAUCCUUUUAGCAUUCAUUGCAGGUCUUCAUGCUGUGCUAAUUAGCAGAUCUCCAUAGAAAUCUGAAUCUACUGUGAUUUUAAUGGAAGAAAACUGUAUUGACUCAAGUUUCGCAGUCUCAUUUAGCCUCUGCUAUUUGAAAUUAUGACUCUGAGCCAUAUCCAGGCAUAGAGUUUUCAAGGCAUUUUCAAAGUGCUGGAAGAUGAACCUAAUCCAGUAACACGUGUGUGGUUUCUUCCACUAUGAAAAAUUGUGCAUCUUCUAGGCUUAAAUUAUGAAAGUGAGAAGAGGACUCUUAACCUUUACACCAAUACAAUACAGAUGGUAAAGGAUAAAACACUUUCUUGGAUAGAACAUCUGGCAGUUUCAUGAUCUCCACAAGCUGCUGGCUUCUCAGCAGCCUAACCCAAGGAGAUUUGUGUGAUCUCACUGGAUGCUGAGUGCUUAUGAAGACACCAAAGAUAUCCUUUGCCAAUGCUCUUAAGAGAGCAAACCUCGUUUUUCACAAGUCUACAAAAUCUUUGUGAAGAGGGUUGGAGUACUCCUGAGGGGAGGUAUGAGGAUGGAAGUGAGUCCAAGAGCAAUGCAGCACUGGAGCUGAGGGAGCUGCCUCAGUUUGCUGCUCACAGGGCACACGGGGGCUGAGCUGACACCAGCAAACCCCCUUCAGCUCAGCAGGGAGUGUCUGAACAACAGGAACAGAGCCACAGACAUCCAGGUGCAACAAUGGCAUUUGAAAAUAUUUCAGAGUUCCUGAUGUGUCAACCUGUAGGCUGGAUGCUGUUCUCUCUGUGCUAAAGAGCUUGGAAGGAAGGAAGGAAGUUUUUAGCCUCACAGCUGGUAUGGAGCUGGCUAACAACUAACUUCAGCAGAAGGGGCCUGAAAUGAUCACAGGGACAGGCAGAGCAGCAGUUGAUCUGAUGAGGUGAUUAAAAAUCAAGCAUCCAUGACAAAUAGCCCUUCAGAUUUGUUACAGGACUUCAGGAACUGAGCUGUUUACCUGGAAGAAUUGAGCAUUCAACCCAAGAAAACUGCUCAUGUGCUUUGGUUUUGCACAAUUGCUGUCACCUGAUCUGAACUGAGAACUCAAAUGCAAACUGACUAUAUUAGAAACUGAACAACAAUUAAGUCUUUUUUCUGAAAAAGAUGUUUUGAUGGAAAAUUGAAUUUCAAUUUCAUGUGAUUCAGUAUUUCCCUCAGAUAAAAUUUAGCAUGGUUUUUCUUAUAUUUCUGGCCAAACUUUUGUUCUGAUUCAUUGAAAGGCUUGUGCAUUUCAGUAAGAUCUGUAUUCUAUGAUUUGAUGGCUUGUGUAUUAAUUCAGCUCUUCUUUUCCCGCUUCUUAUGCUUAGAUAUUAGUAUUGCAAUCAAGGGCAGGAUUAUAAAAGGUCAAUAUAUUGAAUGAAAUCUCUGAUGCAUGGAAACCCAGAGAGGGAUAGCUGUAACUGUCAUGUUCUCUUUAAACAAAAAAUACCAGCCUCAUUUUAAUGAAAACUGUGUAGGAAAAAGACCCUGGUGAACAUAAGUUACAGUUGGAGCUCUCAAUUCAAUUUUAUUGCUUUAAAAUCUAUGAAAAUCAACACCAGAAAAAAUGGAUUUUUGAGUUACUGAAUAUAUUUUUGACUUUGAACUUCACAUUACAGAUCUUUUCCCUUAAGAUAAACCCCUAGGUAGCAAGAGAUCUGUCCUAGAUCAUGGAGUUUCAGUUUUUCCCAGUAUUCUGGGAGUGGCAGUGCAUCACCUAUCCUACCCAGGGGUUACCCUCCCAGUCCAGUGAGCUGCACUCACUUGUCUAUUUUGCAACAGGGCUGCCCCACAAAGGCCCACCAUUUUAGAGAAGGUGGAAAGAUGCAUUCUUCCCACCUUCAAAAUGCUGUACUAUUUGCACUGGCUGGGUGAUGGAAAUCUAUUUAUUCCCUCUUGACUGUGCCACUUGACAUCAGUACAGGAUACCUGGUUACACUGGUCAGUGUAGAAUUAUUAUUUUGUCUAAGGAUAAAGGCUUAUAUCUCCUUGACUCCUGCUGUUUUCCUUGUAUACCACUGCCCCUCCAGUGUUAAACAGUUCCUGCAGUUACACAUGGAGCUUGCCUCAGCUUAACCAGGAGUCAUUCCCCUGGCUUCUCAAGAAUUUCACUUUUCUAUGCUACAGAAGCACUCAGCUGUGCAGCACAGCUACAGCACGAGGCAGAUAUCUCAUGGUGCCCUGGGCAGCAACAAACACAAGAAAGGCUAAACUGAGCUUUGGAAACGGCCAUCAGUUGAUUUGCUUUUGUGAUUAUUUCAUGAAAAUUACGCAUCCUCUCUUAUAAUUUCCUUUUCUUUGUUACUAAUGGACCCUCUUCAGAUUUAAAAAAAAAAAGUCCAAAAGGUGAAUGCCUUAACUUCUUAGCAAAAAGUCUUUCCUUACUUCUUGUCAUGGACUCUUCCCUGUUUCUUCAGCCUUUGGAUUCUGUCUGUGGUGAGCAGCUGCCUUUGCUUUUUUUUCCUCCUCCCUCCCAACCCUGUCCCUACAGAUUGUACAACACACUCUGGAAGGGAUGGGAGAAACCAGGAAAGCACUGGGAAAAAAUGAAACAAUUACAAAGUCAGAGAGGAAGCUCCCAAAGAGAGGUAACAGGCUUCUGGAGGAAAAGAACUGCAAUGACUAAACUUUAUAAAAUGUAAUUUGGUAUUUGAAACUCAUAAAUCGACAGUGACAUUGAAUCCUUUGUGUAUUCAACUUAAAUAAAAUUUCACAGAUUCAGAAGCGAAA
Passer domesticus (house sparrow) is the source of this 2800-nucleotide long non-coding RNA. RefSeq lists it as uncharacterized. The record is from RefSeq and is a predicted model, not a curated record. The transcript is spliced from 9 exons. NCBI's taxonomy places the organism in Eukaryota, Metazoa, Chordata, Aves, Passeriformes, Passeridae.